AUUACAUUUUGAUCAGGGGUCAAAUUGAACGCUGGCGGCAUGCCUUACCCUUGCAAGUCGAACGGCAGCAUGAAAAGCUUGCUCUCUGAUGGCGAGCGGCGAACGGGUGAGUAAAGCAUCGGACCGUCCCGGGUAGGGGGGGAUAACGUACCAAAGGUUACCCUAAUCCCGCAUACCCCCUGGGGGGGAAAGCAGGGAAUCGCAAAACCUUGCCCUAUACGAGGGGCCGAUGCCAAAUUAGCUAGUUGGUAGGGUAAAGGCCUACCAGGGCGACAAUCUGUACCGGGUCUGAAAGGAUGAUCCGCCACACUGGGACUGAGACACGGCCCAAACUCCUCCGGGAGGCAGCAGGGGGGAAUUUUGGACAAGGGGGGAAACCCUGAUCCACCCUUGCCGCGUGAGUGAAGAAGGCCUUCGGGUUGUAAAGCUCUUUCGGCUGGAAAGAAAUCGCACAGGCUAAUACCCUGUGUGGAUGACGGUACCAGCAUAAAAAGCACCG
RNAcentral lists this ribosomal RNA (499 nucleotides) under uncultured bacterium. Its description in RNAcentral is "partial 16S ribosomal RNA". It matches the Rfam family "Bacterial small subunit ribosomal RNA", at positions 1 to 495 of the family's 1533-position model. The record is from RNAcentral.